Molecule: transfer RNA, 76 nt
Filed under: Candidatus Levybacteria bacterium RIFCSPHIGHO2_01_FULL_38_12
Lineage: Bacteria; Candidatus Levyibacteriota
Also listed under: 3 other names
Description: tRNA-Lys
Rfam family: tRNA
About the family: Transfer RNA (tRNA) molecules are approximately 80 nucleotides in length.
Source: RNAcentral
GGGCCAGUAGCUCAGGGGUUAGAGCACCUGCCUUUUAAGCAGGGUGUCGUUGGUUCGAUUCCAACCUGGCUCACCA